GACGAACGCUGGCGGCGUGCUUAACACAUGCAAGUCGAACGCUGAAGCUCAGCUUUUGUUGGGUGGAUGAGUGGCGAACGGGUGAGUAACACGUGAGUAACCUGCCUCCUUCUUUGGGAUAACGCCCGGAAACGGGUGCUAAUACUGGAUAUUCACUGGUCUUCGCAUGGGGGUUGGUGGAAAGGGUUUUUCUGGUGGGGGAUGGGCUCGCGGCCUAUCAGCUUGUUGGUGGGGCGAUGGCCUACCAAGGCUUUGACGGGUAGCCGGCCUGAGAGGGUGACCGGUCACAUUGGGACUGAGAUACGGCCCAGACUCCUACGGGAGGCAGCAGUGGGGAAUAUUGCACAAUGGGCGCAAGCCUGAUGCAGCGACGCCGCGUGAGGGAUGGAGGCCUUCGGGUUGUGAACCUCUUUCGCUCAUGGUCAGGCCGCAACAAUGGUUGUGGUGAGGGUAGUGGGUAAAGAAGCGCCGGCUAACUACGUG
This 483-nucleotide ribosomal RNA is filed under the name uncultured bacterium. RNAcentral's name for it is "partial 16S ribosomal RNA". It matches the Rfam family "Bacterial small subunit ribosomal RNA", at positions 28 to 507 of the family's 1533-position model. The record is from RNAcentral.